GUCCUCAAACAUCACAUCUUGCUUGAUCCUGGAAGCUAAGCAGGGUCAGGCCUGGUUCGUAUUUGGGAGGGAGACCGCCAACGAAUACCAGGUGUUUGAGGAUA
Molecule: ribosomal RNA, 104 nt
Filed under: Anolis carolinensis (green anole)
Lineage: Eukaryota; Metazoa; Chordata; Lepidosauria; Squamata; Anolidae
Source: RNAcentral